AAACAUUCAUUUCACCAGAAAGAAAGAUCAGAAUUUCAGAAGUAAUAAAAUUCUCUGAAAAUGGCUUCCCGAUUCUGUCAAUCUUUCAUCUUCGGAGUUUUGCUUGUUGCCUUGGUUCUCACAUCAGUACCAGAAGCAGUAACAGGAAUAACUGAUCCAGGCCUUCACUGCAUAGGGCAAUGCACUGGACAAUGCAACACAGAUUGCAGUAAGAAAGGCUUUAAGAGUGGCUUCUGUCUCAAACAAGGAUCUGUUAACGUUUGUUGCUGUUCUUGAUUCACUUAUAUUUUCUACUAUUUUUUAAUAAAAUGCGUGUUUGAACUAA
Vigna unguiculata (cowpea) is the source of this 325-nucleotide long non-coding RNA. RefSeq lists it as uncharacterized. The record is from RefSeq and is a predicted model, not a curated record. Lineage: Eukaryota; Viridiplantae; Streptophyta; Magnoliopsida; Fabales; Fabaceae.